Non-coding RNA from Phascolarctos cinereus (koala), 2309 nucleotides. The record is from RefSeq and is a predicted model, not a curated record. Lineage: Eukaryota; Metazoa; Chordata; Mammalia; Diprotodontia; Phascolarctidae.
AGGAGCCAGCUACAUCAACCCAUCAGGCCAGAGGCAAAGGGAAUAGAACCAGGGUCUCUGAGUACCAGACAGGCAGAUAGCUCCCUGAAGGACAUGGCUGGACAGAGAAAGUAGCAUCUAAGUGACAGACCCUGGAGCAUAUAAGCAGGGACCUGGAUAAAGAAACCAGGAGGGCAAAGCGCUUUUCCCCCAGAGCCUAGGUGGUAGCCUUGGAUGGGUGGGCCUUCCUACAGCUCCAAGUGGUCCCACAGCCUUUUCUUUUUCCCCUACUGCUUUUCCUAGCAAUUUAGACUUAAUUUAGAUUUGACUUCAGGGUGGAGGUGCCCAUGGGAGAUUCACCUGAAGUGGGACUAUCCUUGCCCCUGCCUGGGGUCAUUGGGCAGCCAAGCAUCUAGAGGAUGUUUCCUAGGGAGCUGGAAGCUGGGAAGAGCAGGAGAAGAAAAGUGUUGAGGGGAAGUCAAAGAUGCAGCCAGUUGAGAGGGUCAGGAUUUGCUCAGAAACCCCAUGACAGGCACAUGGUGACUCACUGGAGCCGAUUCCUCAGUGGUUUCAGAGGAUGGGGAAGGGGUGGCCAGAGAAGUAGGAAGCUGUCCCCAGUCAGUGGCCAUAAGGGAUCUUCUUUAUCAUGAAGAAUGGGAGAGCUGAGAGGGCUCCUAGAACACAGAGCUGGAAGAAGACUGCAGGCAUCUAUUGAUAGGGUGACAGGGCCAGAAAUUCUGGGGAGAAUACCUGUGCCAGAAGGGUCCUCCAGAUGAUCAGGGACCAGUGGCCUCAUUCUGCAGAUUGGGAAACAGGCCAGAGAGUUCCUCUCUGCCAGACCAUCAGCCAGCCAGUAUUCAUUAAGUGCCUCGAAUGUGCCAGAUGGUGCUAGGGCUGGGGCUAAAACACCAAAGGGAGAUAGUCCCAAAGGACUAGCUCCAUGAGGAGCUGCCACUCUACUGGGGGAUAGAACAUGUUCACUGCACACAAGUCAAUCUAGCCCGUAGGAGACCGGCACCCCAGUGGAUGUCUGCAUUCAUUGGCACAGGAAAGUCUGCUGAGCAGUGUCCCUCUACCAGGGAAAGUUGGUACUUUCUCUACUACUUACCAUCUUAGAGAGUGUCUCAGGCACUGAGACCCAGUGACUUGCCCAAGACUACUUAGCCACUAGGUGCUUAGGACAGGACCCAGGUCUUCCUGGCUUCAUGGGAGCCUUUGCAUGUGGGACAGAUGGACAGAUAGAGUAUAUAUGGAUAUGUCUAUUGAUAGCUAUAUAAAAUGUAUGUAUGUGCAUGUAUGUCUAUAUGAAUAUAUCUAGAAUAUCAACAACAUAUUGAUGGGGGCAGGGGGAGGACAUUGACAAAGAGGUCUCUUAAAGGAGGUGUCACUGAGCUGAACCUUAAAGGAAGCUAGGUGUUCCAAGACAGAGGUAGGGAGGUAGAACAUUCCAGGUAUCAAGGGCAGCCUGUGCUAGGACCUGGAGGUGGGAGAUGGAGUCUCCUGUUCUAGAAAGAGCAGUUGGCUGAAGUAUAGAAUGAGUGAUAGGAAGUCAUGUGUAAUGAGUCUGGAAAGAGAGGCUGUGUAGCCAGAAUCUGAUGGGCAUUCAGUGCCAAAGAAAGGAGUUGGUAUUAUUUUUUUCACAACAGCAGAGGAAGGCCAGUGAAACUUCUUGGGGAAAAUCACUCUGGCAGCUGUGUGCAGGAUGAAUUGGAGAGAGGAGAGGCUGGAGGCAAGGCCAGACCCUGCAAUAGUCUGUGUAACGGACAACGUGAGGAGACUUGGCUGCUGUUGGCUCUCAGGAUCCCGUAGUGGGCGGGGAGCUCGGUGCAGCUUGGCCUCAGGAGCCUGUCACACUGUACUCAGGUGCCCUGACCUGCCCCCCCUGCAGACAAAAACAGAAUGCGUUACCUUGUGGAGAUCUCAGCCCGUCUCUCCUGUCACUGUGAAACUCUUCUAUGAGGCCCUGUGCCCUGCCACUCCUUCACGUCAGUGGUGCCCUUCCCUACCUGGGCUUUGCUGGGCAGUGACAUCUCGGAUGUAGUCCUUGUGCCUUUUGGCAAUGCUGAGGAGAGACUUGUGAAUGGGAACUGGGAGUUUACCUGUCAACAUGGGGAGCUGGAGUGUGAACUCAACAUGGUUUAGACCUGUUUGACCCAAAUCAUUGGAAAACAGUUUGGCACUGCCUUUGCUGUGAUCAACUAUAUGUCAGCUGCUCAUCCAGAGACCUGACUAGAGCCAUGUCUGAAGGUCUAUGCCCCCAAAACUUCUGUGGCUGAAGUCAUGAAAUGUGCAAGAGGACCUCAAGGCAAAGAGAUGAUGCAUCAGAAUGC